AUGUCGUUCACCAUAUCCGCCCUACACAAAGCCUAACAGUUUUUUUCUUUCUGUGCCUCUCUUUUCCCCCAGCGACAACCUUUUCACUGCUCCUCCCCCCCGCGGCUCUGUCGUCAGCCUCCCUCACACGUUGCUGCAAGCCCACACACUGGGCAAGCACAGGUGCUCGCUCCAUCAGGAACACGCACGGAGAAAAGGUACUCAUCAAGUAGCGGAAAAACAAAAGUCCCGAAACACGCGGCGCCAGCACGUGUUUUCUCUCCGCCUCUCCCCUGCUCGACCGCUUCCGCACGUCUCACAUUCUGCUUUUCGCUCACCGUUGUUCCCUUGCGAAUCGGAACUCCCGCCUUCUGUUUUUAUUAUUAUUAUUUCCUCUCUGUGCUUAUACGUCGCCUCGUGUGCACGUGCGACUUGCACUUGACGACGCCGUCUCUGCUUGCGUUCACAUCUCCAGCUUGCACUCUUUUUCUUUUAUGUAACGAUGACACUGAACUUCGACAUUCUUGCCGGCAACAACGUUGACUGGGGCUUCGAGUGCCUUCCUACUGCUCCUGAGCGUAGCCCUGCCCCUGCCCUCUUCACGCCCUUCGGCGUCACAGCCGGCACCGAGUCGGACUUGAUGAUGGCGAGCGCUUUGCAGGCACCCGCACCGCGCGUCAUGUCCAGGUCGCUGCAGGCCAUGACCCAGAGCGUGCCGUUAAGCGACUACGGUGAGAAUGUGUCGCCGAUGAAGAACGACUCGCUCAACAUGUCGGUGCAGGCAAGCGACCCCGCUGCGCGUGCCUAUGACAGCAACUUGUACGUUGCGUCUCUACCCGAGUGGUUUACGGAUGCCGACCUGCACGAGCUGUUCAAGCGCUUUGGCCCCAUCGUUUCUGCCAAGGUCAUGUGCCACAAGGGAACGCACCACUGCAAGGGCUACGGCUUCGUGCUGUUCCAGCGCACCGACGACGCGGCAGUCGCGCGAUCGGAGAUGAUUGGUCACGUAGUGGGCGGCAAUAAGAUCCAGGUUCGUCGUGCCCGCUCUGCCGCCAGUGCCCCUCUCACAGAGGCCGCUUCCGCUGUGAGCGGCACCUUUACUGAGUCCCCCGGCUCGACGCGCGCGUCGUCGUCGAACGUGACGCCCAUCAACUAUGCCGCGCACGUGGUGCCGGCCCAGCAGCCGUCGUUUAACCCCCUGUACCCCUCCACCACAGCCUUGACCCCGACCUACGUUCUGACAAACCCCAGUGCUCCAAUGCAGAAUGCAACACACACGCAACCGGCCAUGUUGGUGGCCAUCCCGAACGGUCGCACGAUGGUGCAGGGUGCGGGUGAUGUGAUGUACAUGGUUUUGGCGUCGUCUGCGCAGCAGAUGCAGUCAACCAGCGCGAUCUACUAAGCACCAGCACCUCAUGCCAUGGGCGACGCGCCACUUGCGCCAGCGCAGUCGAGGAUUUUGGGGGUAUGUCCCUCAUCGGCCUCUGCGUCCCACGCCUCGAACACCUUGCUGCUGCCUUCCCUCCUUUCCAUCUGCUUUUUUUCCUCCUCCCUCCCUUCGUGUCUUCCCUUUGUUCGGCUCCUUGCUUGUAUUUUUGUCGGCCUCGCUUCUCUCUUUUGUUGUUUUGUUUUUAUGCCCGGCUUUGGCGUUUUGCGUCCUAUUUUCUUCCAUCUCACAUCUCUGUGUGCGUGUUUGUGAGUGUGUCUAUUCCCUCGUGCUUUCUUGUUUCUCGGCCCAUCAUCUUCCCUCCCCCCCCCUUUCUGCCUCUCGCGUGCUUUGAUAUCCUGUAAAGGAUGUUACUGGGCACUCUCUCCUCUCGUCUUCCCCCCCCCCUCUCUGAUUCUUUUUGUCGGUGUUCUCGCUUUCUUUUCUUUCUGCCUGUGCCUCCUCCUCCUCCUUCCCCUCUCCCCCACUUGCUGAUACUUCGUCCUCCUUUCUUCACCCGCACGCUUUCUUCCUGUUGUUGUCGUUUCUUCUAUCGAUGUGAGAUUCACGUGGUCCAUGCGGGAUUUGGUUUUUGGUGUUGUGACGUAUCUCUCCGUAUACUCUCUGUCGCCGCUGUGCACCGUUUCCGUAUGCCGCCUCUCUUACUCUUCUCGGCCCCCGUCGCUCUUCUUCUCCCGCAUCUAUUGUGGUUAUUCGCCUGCUGAGGGCGAGGAAUGAAGGGGGAGGAAGGAGGAGGCGGAGGGUGAGGCCAACAGGAUUAGAUGUUCGUGCUCCCCCUUCUUUUUCCCCACUCCUUCCUUCUCUACUCCCCGUUGGUUUCUUUUGUUCCGUUUGCCCUCUCCUUUUCUCCACUCGCCACGCCGCCGACUUUUCUUCUGUCUUUAACCCCCCCCUCCCCUUUCGAUCUUCGCUUGUCGUGCGCACUUUUGACUACUUAGCUUGAAAGUUACCCUUGUCUCUUCUUACUCCCCUCUCUACUUCCUUCACACACCCUUCCUUAUACAUCAAUCAUCAUGAUCGCUGUCGUUUUACUAUUAUUUCCCGCCGACUUCCUUGUCUGCUGCGCGCCUUCAUAACCCUCCCAGCGACAGGAAAGCGAGAGAAUCAGCAAGGUAAGGCCUCCGACAAAGGGAACUCUCCACUUCGAGCACACACGCGCGCAAGUCUGCAUACCCGAUGAACUGCCCGUACGUGUGUUUUUGUGUGCGUGUUUAUAGUCUGCUCUUCUCCAUCCCGCUCUUAGCGUGUGCCUGCGCGGUGUGUGUGUGUGUGUGUGUGUGUGCACCUUGACACGUCUGCGUCACCGUUUCUCGUCCGCUCGCCAACGGCAAAAGAGAAGACGCCCCCACACGCACACGGCAACAGAGAAACAACUUUUCGCUUUCCCGUUUUUUUUUCUGCUCUCUCCUUCUCUCCCUCCUCCCUCUCCUUUUUGCUUUUUACUGCUUCGACACUCGUUCUUUGUGUCAUGGUAUUGUGUCUUGUUUCUGCCUCGCUGCUGCUGCCGUGUGUGUGUGUGCGUGCGUCUCCCUCUUUGUUUUCCUUCCGUUCUAUCAUUACCAUCUGGAGACUCCUUUUUUUUCCCUUGUUUGCUUGGUGGUGGUGUUAUCGCUAUCUUCUCACACGCUAAACGCUUCGCCUGUCGUUUGCUUUGCUUCCACCUCCUCCCCCUUCUUCGGAUUCAAAAUGGGCCUGUCGUCUUUCUCGCUUACCCGCUCGCUGUGCGUGGGUAAAUGUUCAGGUGUGGGCAUGUGUGUGUGUGUGUAUGUGCGUGUUUGUGUUGGAGAUGCAGACCAGAAUAACCGGGCGCUUGCCUUGUCUACUGUGUGCGUGAAAGAGAGCGGUAGUGUGCACACAAGCGUCUGAUUGUGCUUGCCCCCGCACCCCACACGUACCCCACAACGUCUGCCCGAUAGAGGCGUCUCCCUUUCUUAUAGUUCCACCCCGUCUUUGUGUUUGUUUCUGGUCCACACCUUACGUGCUCUGUCACUUCUUACCUUCUGUGCUGCUUUGGUGAAUAUUUUUUUUUCGUCUCUUUCGUCGUCGUCACGCUGGUGCAGCUCUUCUUUCGCUCUCUCUCUGCCCGUCCACGUCUGGAUGACGUGCCCUUUUAUCUUGCGUGCGCCGUGUGGGACGUGCUGGCCGUCCUCCUCCACACGCUCCCCCCUCCCCUCCGUAUGCGGGGGGAGAGCGUACCCAAGAAGCACCCAGAAAAUGAAAAAAAGGAAGCAUUUAGGUCGACGAUGGAGUAAGCACGAGUGCACAUGGAGAAGACACACAAAAAUGCAAUCAGUACCAAACAGAAGGCAGAAAUCAGAAAACAAAAUCGAACGCACACACACAGACACUCACAGACAGAUACGGCCUUUGUGGCUUGUCCUCCAGCCCCUUCCCCCCUCCUCGCUUUCUCUCCCGUUUUUGAUUCCUCUCCGUGCUCUCUGCGUUCCCUCUCGGUCUCCAGUCCUUUACUGCUUAUUUUUGCCUCGCCGUUCUUUCCUUGUUCGUUCCUUUGUUUAUUUUUGCCGCGUCGGCUCGUUUUUCUUUUCCUCCUUUUUUUUUCCGGGUUUGUGCUCCUCGCUUGUGUGCAUGCGUCUUGCUGGCGGUAGGGCGAUGUUGUAGGGGAAUGACGCUGCCACGUUGCAUUCGCUUUUUCUAAAAGAGAAGGCCAAGGUCCUCGUCAAUCAGAACGGCUUUGAUGUUUUCACUUCUGCUUCUCUGUUGGCUGCGUUUCUCUUUUCGUUGUUUCUCUUCGCGUGCGGUCUGUCGUCACUUCUGUUUUUCACUUCUGCCAUCUAUGUGCGUCAGUUCACACCGACACGGGAUAGAGAGCUUGCCCGACCGGCCAGCAACUAAAUGCAGCGUAAGAGAGAGUGGGAAAGGCGGGGAUAUGGGACUCGUGGACUAGAGGAAGGCGGUUAACUACGUCAGCCCCCUCCCCUCCCCCUCUUUUUUUUUCUACCCAAGCAUGUGAGAAGGUAUUUUUUCUCAUCGCUGCUUUUGUUCAUUUUUUUGUGGGGGUCCUGCGACGUCUUUUGUGCGUGUGCGUGUUUCCUCCCUCUCUUUUCCCUCUUUUUCUUUGUUUGGCCACUUCUUUCCUCUUUCUGUACCGCGUACUUUUCCUUUGUUUUUGUUUUUUUUCUCAUGGAGGGCAGUUCUCAUCAUUAAUAACACAAAUCUGUGCUGGAGCGCCAGCGUAAUGGAGACAUGAAUAUGUGUGUGCUAGUGUGUGUGUGUGUGUGGCGAUGCUGUCGAUACACUUGGACCGUCGCACACACACACACACACACACACACAGACACACAGACACAGACACAGACAUAGACGAGCACAAGAAUAACUGCACCUAUCCUUGUGAGUGUGUGUGUGUGUGUUGCGCGUAGAGAUGCAAGCGCACUCACAUGCAGGCCUGUGCGUACACGCAAUAACACUUGUAUGAGGCGUAAAGUAUGCAUGAGCACAGACAAAGUCCCCCCUCUCCUAUUUAUGCGAUGCGUGGGCGUGGCUUUCUUCGUUUUCCCUUUUUUGUUUCCCUCCCCCCGUUCCUCUAGGUGCUCUCACAUGCACACGCAAAGGCGCAAUGCAGCUGCUCGCUUCGACCUCCCCCCUCCCCCUCCUCCUCUUCGGUCAUGAAGAGACAGCAUUAGCCAACUGUUUCCUCUGUUUGUUUGUUUUUCUUUCUCACGUGUGUCUAUGUGACGACGCUGCAUGCUCAAGAACUUCUGCUGCUAGUGCUGUUGCUGCUUAUGAGCGAUUUCAUUUCUCAGAAGCCCUCCCCCUUUUUUCCCCAAUCGCCGGUUUGCUUCCCCACCAAGUGUGUGUGUGUGUGUGUGUGUGUGUGUGACAGCCUAUUCUUACUUGCCAAUACGUUAUUUUUCUUCUCACAACGCCUGCUGCUCCCCACCCCUUCCCCUCUCUUCUCUUAUGUUUCUUUCGUUUUUUUUUUUGCAUUUUCCUCUGUGAUGUACACAGGGUGUGUGUCUCUCACCCUGCACCUGUCCUUCUUUCUUUCUCGCCUGCUCGCCCCCGUCCCCUGCCACUUUUUUUUGUUUGUCGCUUUCCUUUUUUUUUCUCUAUCGGUGUGUGUGUGUGUGUAUUCUGCAACAGCGCUGCCUUGUGUUUUUGGUUGCUGUGCCUUUCUCUAUUUUUGGUUUAGGUGUGUGUGUGUGUGUGUGCUCGUUUCCGCGUGGGUGUGUGUAUUCGGAGGGCGCGUGUGUCGUGCCUCAAGCUUCGUCCUCCUCCUGCUUCUUCGCGCGUUACAGAUGUGGUUGAUGGUGCUGUCUGUGCUUUGGCCCAGCCUUGUACGUGAGCAGACGGUCUGCCGUGUGCGGCGCGUAUGUCACCCGUCUGCCUGUCACACAGCACAAACAGAGGCACGCGCUCUCACGUGUCUUCUCUCAUCGCGGUGCGGCAGAGAAAAUGACGCGCGCAACGUCACUCAAGAUCGCACACACAAGCACAGUUGAAGUACCGACGGGCAUCGCUGCAGCUGCCCGCCGCGGGCUCCUUUGUUUCUUUUGGCUCCCUAGUCUUGUCACUUGGGCGGUUGCUCUGCAUCGGACUGGUGCCCCCAAUAUAAACACGCACCAUGUCUUGCUGAGGCAGUUAGCACAAGGCUAGAGAAGAAGGCACGCGGGAGAUGGGGCAGCGGCAGACGGCUAAGUCAGCUCUGAGACGGCGGUUGGGCAUACCGAAAAGAGGGAGGUGGCCUGUGGCGUUGAGCAGGUGCUGAGGACAAGCUCGCGUCUCCAUUGCAUUGUGCGUGGCCCUCAUCUUCUCUCCAUCUCCCCCCCCCCCCCAAGCUGCCCCCUCCUUCCUCAGCUACUGGACGAGCAGGCUGCCGCCGACGCUCCUACCUCCACUGCCUUCCCCCAUCCCCUUUUGAGUUAUUUUUGUGUGUUCACUUCGUAGACGUUCUCAUGUUUACUUUUUGUUUCGCAGCCGUCAUGACAGCCUUCUCUCUCCCCCAACACACACACGCACUUGUGCAUGCACACAUACAGCCCUCUCCUCCUUUCAAUAUAUUUUGCUCGGCACAUAUUUCUUACGCGCGCCCCCGCGGCUGGCGCGGUGGAAGAGGGCUGGGGGAUGGCGGCAGCCGCUCUCCUUUACCUAACUCUUCUUCUCUCUUCUCCCCCUCCUCGCCCGCGCCUCUGUUUGUUUUGUGCAUUGGCAAGUGUGUGUGUGUGUGUGUGUGUGUGUGUGUGUGUGUGUGUGUGCGUGUGGUUACAUCCUUUAUUUUCGGGUAUUCCAUCUUUUUGGUCUCAGUGUUAUUUUGUUUUCUUCUGUCCUUCGGAUUCCAUCGUCUGCGUAGGAGUGUCUCGCCGCCGCAGUGCCCUCCCUCCCUCCGUCAGCACCUUUCCAUGUAAGGAAGCUCCGCGCGCACAGAGGCACGCACUUGGCCAAAACACACACACACACACACACACACAACUUCGACCUCGAAUCGGGUUAUUAUUUUCGCAGACAGUUGCAGCGGCAGAAGGCGAAACCGAAGUCAUGCAUACUCGAGAUCAUCCUCGUUUCGGACACGAGCACCCACACCCCGCACCCGCACUCGCACGUGUGCGCCUUUUGUGCGCAACACGAACAGAUUAGAGAAAAGAAAACGAAUAAAGAAGAGCAACAAGAUGAUGACUGCAAAGAGAAACAACAAAAAAAACGAAUGCAUCCAACACAGCAGCAGCCACAACCACAAGCGAGUAAUGCACCCUGACCUGAGCAGCGUUGUCGUUCUUCUACUUUUCUUUGCGCUUUCUUCCAUCGACGCAUGCGCUAUUCCUUUCCAUUUUUUUUUCCCUUUGAUGUGCUUUUUUCAUCCUUUUUUCCGUCUUUCUACACCAG
This 7267-nucleotide unclassified non-coding RNA is filed under the name Leishmania donovani. Its description in RNAcentral is "gene:LdHU3.09.0150(CDS-product:RNA-binding_protei n_5-like_protein)". The record is from RNAcentral. Lineage: Eukaryota; Euglenozoa; Kinetoplastea; Trypanosomatida; Trypanosomatidae.